This 1319-nucleotide ribosomal RNA is filed under the name Microbacterium trichothecenolyticum. Its description in RNAcentral is "bacterial SSU rRNA". It matches the Rfam family "Bacterial small subunit ribosomal RNA", at positions 97 to 1428 of the family's 1533-position model. The record is from RNAcentral. Lineage: Bacteria; Bacillati; Actinomycetota; Actinomycetes; Micrococcales; Microbacteriaceae.
GGCGAACGGGUGAGUAACACGUGAGCAACCUGCCCUGGACUCUGGGAUAAGCGCUGGAAACGGCGUCUAAUACUGGAUAUGAGCUCUCAUCGCAUGGUGGGGGUUGGAAAGAUUUUUCGGUCUGGGAUGGGCUCGCGGCCUAUCAGCUUGUUGGUGAGGUAAUGGCUCACCAAGGCGUCGACGGGUAGCCGGCCUGAGAGGGUGACCGGCCACACUGGGACUGAGACACGGCCCAGACUCCUACGGGAGGCAGCAGUGGGGAAUAUUGCACAAUGGGCGGAAGCCUGAUGCAGCAACGCCGCGUGAGGGAUGACGGCCUUCGGGUUGUAAACCUCUUUUAGCAGGGAAGAAGCGAGAGUGACGGUACCUGCAGAAAAAGCGCCGGCUAACUACGUGCCAGCAGCCGCGGUAAUACGUAGGGCGCAAGCGUUAUCCGGAAUUAUUGGGCGUAAAGAGCUCGUAGGCGGUUUGUCGCGUCUGCUGUGAAAUCCCGAGGCUCAACCUCGGGCCUGCAGUGGGUACGGGCAGACUAGAGUGCGGUAGGGGAGAUUGGAAUUCCUGGUGUAGCGGUGGAAUGCGCAGAUAUCAGGAGGAACACCGAUGGCGAAGGCAGAUCUCUGGGCCGUAACUGACGCUGAGGAGCGAAAGGGUGGGGAGCAAACAGGCUUAGAUACCCUGGUAGUCCACCCCGUAAACGUUGGGAACUAGUUGUGGGGACCAUUCCACGGUUUCCGUGACGCAGCUAACGCAUUAAGUUCCCCGCCUGGGGAGUACGGCCGCAAGGCUAAAACUCAAAGGAAUUGACGGGGACCCGCACAAGCGGCGGAGCAUGCGGAUUAAUUCGAUGCAACGCGAAGAACCUUACCAAGGCUUGACAUACACCAGAACACCGUAGAAAUACGGGACUCUUUGGACACUGGUGAACAGGUGGUGCAUGGUUGUCGUCAGCUCGUGUCGUGAGAUGUUGGGUUAAGUCCCGCAACGAGCGCAACCCUCGUUCUAUGUUGCCAGCACGUAAUGGUGGGAACUCAUGGGAUACUGCCGGGGUCAACUCGGAGGAAGGUGGGGAUGACGUCAAAUCAUCAUGCCCCUUAUGUCUUGGGCUUCACGCAUGCUACAAUGGCCGGUACAAAGGGCUGCAAUACCGUGAGGUGGAGCGAAUCCCAAAAAGCCGGUCCCAGUUCGGAUUGAGGUCUGCAACUCGACCUCAUGAAGUCGGAGUCGCUAGUAAUCGCAGAUCAGCAACGCUGCGGUGAAUACGUUCCCGGGUCUUGUACACACCGCCCGUCAAGUCAUGAAAGUCGGUAACACCUGAAGCC